GGGGAUGCUCGGAUUCGAUAAAAAGGAAUUCUUUAAUAUGCGGGUUGAGGAACUUCGUUAGCUCAUUAAAAACGAAGAGGCAAUUACAUGCCAAUCGAAAUUUUGCUUAUGCUUAUGCCUAAAACAUAAGUUAAGCUUCUCCCCUUUUGGGGAAUCUCUUUAAUGGAUUCUCGAUAAAUUAAAGGGAUUUAAACUUCGAGAUAGAGAUAAUCUAGUUUAUCCAGCUAUAUUAUCUUGAAAUUUUUUGGAUAGUAUUAAGAAAUGUUUUGUUUAGUUUUAAUUCUUAAUACUAUAAAAACUAAACUACACUCGUAGAUUUAUUAAAGAUGAACUUUUUAGACGCGAGUUCAACUCUCGCCAUCUCCACCC
RNAcentral lists this transfer-messenger RNA (369 nucleotides) under Parcubacteria group bacterium. It matches the Rfam family "transfer-messenger RNA". Rfam says of the family: Bacterial tmRNA, also known as 10Sa RNA or SsrA, is named for its dual tRNA and mRNA-like properties. Its role is to liberate the mRNA from a stalled ribosome. The record is from RNAcentral. RNAcentral also lists the same sequence under 1 other name.